Molecule: ribosomal RNA, 843 nt
Filed under: Distoseptispora sp.
Lineage: Eukaryota; Fungi; Ascomycota; Sordariomycetes; Distoseptisporaceae
Description: partial large subunit ribosomal RNA
Rfam family: Eukaryotic large subunit ribosomal RNA
Source: RNAcentral
ACAGGGAUUGCCCCAGUAACGGCGAGUGAAGCGGCAACAGCUCAGAUUUGAAAUCUGGCCCUUGUGGGGUCCGAAUUGUAAUCUGUAGAGGAUGCUUUUGGCGACGCGCCUUCCGAGUCCCCUGGAACGGGGCGCCAGAGAGGGUGAGAGCCCCGUAUGGUUGGACGCCGAACCUCUGUAAAGCUCCUUCGACGAGUCGAGUAGUUUGGGAAUGCUGCUCAAAAUGGGAGGUAAAUUUCUUCUAAAGCUAAAUACCGGCCAGAGACCGAUAGCGCACAAGUAGAGUGAUCGAAAGAUGAAAAGCACUUUGAAAAGAGGGUCAAAUAGCACGUGAAAUUGCUGAAAGGGAAGCGCUUGUGACCAGACUUGCGCCCGGUUGAUCAUCCAGCGCUCUCGCUGGUGCACUCUGCCGGGCCCAGGCCAGCAUCGGCUCUCCCAGGGGGAUAAAGGUCGCGGGAACGUAGCUCUCUCCGGGGAGUGUUAUAGCCCGUGGCGGAAUGCCCUUAGGGGGGGCCGAGGCCCGCGUUCGCAAGGAUGCUGGCGUAAUGGUCACCAGCGACCCGUCUUGAAACACGGACCAAGGAGUCAAGCAUUAGGGCGAGUCUUUGGGUGCAAAACCCGCAGGCGCAAUGAAAGUGAACGGAGGUGAGAGCUUCGGCGCAUCAUCGACCGAUCCUGAUGUUCUCGGAUGGAUUUGAGUAAGAGCCUUACCGCUUGGACCCGAAAGAUGGUGAACUAUGCCUGAAUAGGGUGAAGCCAGAGGAAACUCUGGUGGAGGCUCGCAGCGGUUCUGACGUGCAAAUCGAUCGUCAAAUUUGGGCAUGGGGGCGAAAGACUAAUCGA